UACGGAGGAUCCAAGCGUUAUCCGGAAUUACUGGGCGUAAAGAGUUGCGUAGGUGGCAGUGUAAGCAGAUAGUGAAAGCGUGUGGCUCAACCAUACAUCCAUUAUCUGAACUGCACAGCUAGAGGACGAGAGAGGUAGAUGGAAUUCCUAAUGUAGGGGUAAUAUCCGUAGAUAUUAGGAGGAACACCGAUGGCGUAGGCAGUCUACUGGCUCGUUCCUGACACUAAGGCACGAAAGCGUGGGUAGCAAACAGG
RNAcentral lists this unclassified non-coding RNA (254 nucleotides) under Patescibacteria group bacterium. Its description in RNAcentral is "contains 16S-23S intergenic spacer region". It matches the Rfam family "Bacterial small subunit ribosomal RNA", at positions 524 to 776 of the family's 1533-position model. The record is from RNAcentral.